Molecule: long non-coding RNA, 327 nt
Organism: Strongylocentrotus purpuratus (purple sea urchin)
Lineage: Eukaryota; Metazoa; Echinodermata; Echinoidea; Camarodonta; Strongylocentrotidae
Exons: 4
Source: RefSeq, a predicted model, not a curated record
AAUGGAGGAGAUUGUGUUGAUGGAGUCAGCUCCUUUACUUGCACCUGUGCUGUUGGUUUUACUGGGGAUACGUGUGCAGAGAUCGACGAAUGUUCCAGCAGUCCUUGUAUGAAUGGAGGAGAUUGUGUUGAUGGAGUCAGCUCCUUUACUUGCACCUGUGCUGUUGGUUUUACUGGGGAUACGUGUGCAGAGAUCGACGAAUGUUCCAGCAGUCCUUGUAUGAAUGGAGGAGAUUGCGUUGAUGGAGUCAGCUCCUUUUCUUGCACCUGUGCUGUUGGUUUUACUGGGGAUACGUGUGCAGAGAUCGACGAAUGUUCCAGCAGUCCU